RNAcentral lists this ribosomal RNA (447 nucleotides) under uncultured bacterium. RNAcentral's name for it is "bacterial SSU rRNA". It matches the Rfam family "Bacterial small subunit ribosomal RNA", at positions 355 to 825 of the family's 1533-position model. The record is from RNAcentral.
UGGGGAAUAUUGGACAAUGGGCGCAAGCCUGAUCCAGCCAUGCCGCGUGAGUGAUGAAGGCCUUAGGGUUGUAAAGCUCUUUUGGCGGGGACGAUAAUGACGGUACCCGCAGAAUAAGCCCCGGCUAACUUCGUGCCAGCAGCCGCGGUAAUACGAAGGGGGCUAGCGUUGUUCGGAUUUACUGGGCGUAAAGGGCGCGUAGGCGGCAUGACAAGUCACUUGUGAAAUCUCUGGGCUUAACCCAGAACGGCCAAGUGAUACUGUCGCGCUAGAGUGCAGAAGGGGCAAUCGGAAUUCUUGGUGUAGCGGUGAAAUGCGUAGAUAUCAAGAGGAACACCUGAGGUGAAGACGGGUUGCUGGGCUGACACUGACGCUGAGGCGCGAAAGCCAGGGGAGCAAACGGGAUUAGAUACCCCAGUAGUCCCUGAGCGGGCUGGCAAGGCGCAU